UGGUUCGAUUCCGGCUCGAAGGA
This 23-nucleotide non-coding RNA is filed under the name Cricetulus griseus (Chinese hamster). Lineage: Eukaryota; Metazoa; Chordata; Mammalia; Rodentia; Cricetidae. The record is from RNAcentral.